CUCAAUGAAUUUUAUAUAGCCGCAAUAUUGUGCUAAGGUAGCAUAAUCAUUUGUUUUUUAAUUAAAAACUAGAACGAAAGAUUUAACAUUUUAAUUUCUUUCUUACAUAUAAAAAUUAAAUUUAUUUUAAAUAUUAAAAAAUAUUUAUACAUUAAAAAGACGAUAAGACCCUAUUGAACUUCACUAAAGUUUAACUGGGGUAGUUAAUUAAAUACAAUUUUAAUUCAAAUUUUCAAAAUACCUAAUAAAAUUAAAAUAAUCAAGUUACCAUAGGGAUAACAGCGUAAUAAAUUUUAAAAGAUCUUAUUUAAAAAUUUGUUUACGACCUCGAUGUUGAAUUAAUAAUCUAUUAAAUGCAAUAAUUUAAUAAAGAAAGUCUGUUCGACUU
RNAcentral lists this ribosomal RNA (388 nucleotides) under Platocoelotes sp. ZZ456. RNAcentral describes it as "partial 16S ribosomal RNA". Lineage: Eukaryota; Metazoa; Arthropoda; Arachnida; Araneae; Agelenidae. The record is from RNAcentral.